This 812-nucleotide ribosomal RNA is filed under the name Atrocalyx acervatus. RNAcentral's name for it is "eukaryotic LSU rRNA". It matches the Rfam family "Eukaryotic large subunit ribosomal RNA", at positions 76 to 919 of the family's 3401-position model. The record is from RNAcentral. Lineage: Eukaryota; Fungi; Ascomycota; Dothideomycetes; Pleosporales; Lophiotremataceae.
UGCCUCAGUAACGGCGAGUGAAGCGGCAACAGCUCAAAUUUGAAAUCUGGCCCUAGGCCCGAGUUGUAAUUUGCAGAGGAUGCUUUUGGUGCGGUGCCUUCCAAGUUCCCUAGAACGGGACGCCAGAGAGGGUGAGAGCCCCGUACAGUUGGACACCAAGCCUUUGUAAAGCUCCUUCGACGAGUCGAGUAGUUUGGGAAUGCUGCUCAAAAUGGGAGGUAUAUUUCUUCUAAAGCUAAAUACCGGCCAGAGACCGAUAGCGCACAAGUAGAGUGAUCGAAAGAUGAAAAGCACUUUGAAAAGAGGGUUAAACAGCACGUGAAAUUGUUAAAAGGGAAGCGCUUGUGACCAGACUUGCGUCCGGUGAAUCACCCAGCUCUCGCGGCUGGGGCACUUCGCCGGCUCAGGCCAGCAUCAGCUCGCUGUCGGGGACAAAAGCUUCAGGAACGUAGCUCUCUUCGGGGAGUGUUAUAGCCUGUUGCAUAAUACCCUUCGGCGGGCUGAGGUACGCGCUCCGCAAGGAUGCUGGCAUAAUGGUCAUCAGCGACCCGUCUUGAAACACGGACCAAGGAGUCAACCUUAUGUGCGAGUGUUCGGGUGUCAAACCCCUACGCGUAAUGAAAGUGAACGCAGGUGAGAGCUUCGGCGCAUCAUCGACCGAUCCUGAUGUUCUCGGAUGGAUUUGAGUAAGAGCAUAUAGGGUUGGACCCGAAAGAAGGUGAACUAUGCGUGUAUAGGGUGAAGCCAGAGGAAACUCUGGUGGAGGCUCGCAGCGGUUCUGACGUGCAAAUCGAUCGUCAAAUAUGCGCAUG